CAUGCAAGUCGAACGGACCGAUCCCGUUGCAGCGGACUGAGGAUUCGUCUGACGUCCAAAGCGUGGGAUAGGUUAGUGGCGCACGGGUGAGCAACACGUAGGUGACCUGCCCCGAAGAGGGGGAUAACUGCUGGAAACGGCAGCUAAUACCCCAUGUGGUCGGCGAUUCGUUUCGCUGAUUAAAGCUCCGGCGCUUCGGGAGGGGCCUGCGGCCGAUUAGCUAGUUGGUGGGGUAAUGGCUCACCAAGGCGAUAAUCGGUAGCUGGUCUGAGAGGACGAUCAGCCACACUGGCACUGACACACGGGGCCAGACUCCUACGGGAGGCAGCAGUGAGGAAUAUUGCGCAAUGGGCGAAAGCCUGACGCAGCAACGCCGCGUGGGCGACGAAGGCCUUCGGGUUGUAAAGCCCUUUUCUGGGGGAAGAGGAAGGACGG
Molecule: ribosomal RNA, 435 nt
Filed under: uncultured bacterium
Lineage: Bacteria
Description: bacterial SSU rRNA
Rfam family: Bacterial small subunit ribosomal RNA
Source: RNAcentral